UGUCUUAUUAUAUAGAUAUCCCUCUACCAUCCUAUUUUUGCAAUCAUACCCCUCCUGUUAGAUUUUUGAUUGGUGUUUUUUUUUUAAUAGCCAUUUUAAGUGUGAAAUAAUGCUAUUACUCCUUUCCAUGAACACCCUUGAAAAAUUUAGUAUUUAAUUUAUACAAAAGAGAUAUGUUUUUGCUUAAAUUUUUCAAGGGUAUUGAUGUUAAAGGAUAAUAAAAAUAUUUUUCACUAAAAAUAUUUGGUCAUUGAUAUCUCAAUCAAAAAUCUAAGGGGAUAGGUGAUUGGCAUAUAUAGAAAGAUUUGAGAAGUGUAUAUGCAAAUAGUGAUUUUUAAAGGAUACUUAUAUAAUAAAUUGUAUUUAUAAGGGUAUGUAUGCAAAAAGUUCUUUUUCUAAUAUUGAAAUUUUAGCAUUCAUGGUGCAUAGAACUUUAUUUUGAAUUUAUUUAAGUUUGAGGUUCUUAUGUUUCAAUCCAAGCUUUUAUAUCAUCGAUAACUUGGGCUUAAGGAGGC
RNAcentral lists this long non-coding RNA (515 nucleotides) under Elaeis guineensis (African oil palm). Its description in RNAcentral is "long non-coding RNA (EGUI_LNC008289)". Lineage: Eukaryota; Viridiplantae; Streptophyta; Magnoliopsida; Arecales; Arecaceae. The record is from RNAcentral.